GGGAAGCUGGCUCAGUGGUAGAGCGCUUGCCUUGAAUGCUUGAGGCCCUGGGUUCGAUUCCUCAGCACCACA
Non-coding RNA from Dipodomys ordii (Ord's kangaroo rat), 72 nucleotides. Lineage: Eukaryota; Metazoa; Chordata; Mammalia; Rodentia; Heteromyidae. The record is from Rfam.